UGAAUACGAGAUGCUACGGCGUCGAAGCAGUCUAUGUCAUACUUCCAAGAAAAGCUUGCACUGUCAUAAACAAAUAAUGCCUGUACCAUAACCGACACAGGUGGGUAGGUAGAGUAUACUAAGGGGCGCGAGAUAACUCUCUCUAAGGAACUCGGCAAAAUGACUCCGUAACUUCGGGAGAAGGAGUGCCUUAUUUAUAAGGUUGCAAUAACAAGAUCCAAGCAACUGUUUACCAAAAACACAGGUCUCCGCUAAGUCGUAAGACGAUGUAUGGAGGCAGACGCCUGCCCAGUGCCAGAAGGUUAAAGAAGUUGGUUAGCAUCCGCGAAGCUAAUAACUGAAGCCCUGGUGAACGGCGGCCGUAACAAUAACGGUCCUAAGGUAGCGAAAUUCCUUGUCGGGUAAGUUCCGACCCGCACGAAAGGCGUAAUGAUUUGGAUACUGUCUCGGAGAGGGGCUCGGUGAAAUAGACUUGUCUGUGAAGAUGCGGACUACCUGCACCAGGACAGAAAGACCCUAUGAAGCUUUACUGUAACCUGAAAUUGAAAUUGGACUUUACUUGCGCAGUAUAGGUGGGAGGCGUUGAGAAUAUUCUUGCGGGAUUAUUGGAGCCAUCAGUGAGAUACCACUCUUGUAAUGUUAGAUUUCUAACUUUGUAUCAUUAUCUGGUCAAAGAACAGUUUCAGGCGGGCAGUUUGACUGGGGCGGUCGCCUCCUAAACGGUAACGGAGGCGCACAAAGGUUUCCUCUGAACGGGUAGAAAUCGUAUCUAGAGUGUAAAGGCAUAAGGAAGCUUGACUGUGAGACCUACAAGUCGAGCAGGGACGAAAGUCGGUCUUAGUGAUCUGACGGUGCUGAGUGGAAAGGCCGUCACUCAACGGAUAAAAGUUACUCUAGGAUAACAGGCUGAUCUCCCCCUAGAGUUCACAUCGACGGGGAGGUUUGGCACCUCGAUGUCGGCUCAUCGCAUCCUGGGGCGGUAGUACGUCCCAAGGGUUGGGCUGUUCGCCCAUGAAAGCGGUACGCGAGCUGGGUUCAGAACGUCGUGAGACAGUUCGGUCCAUAUCCGGUGUAGGCGUUAGAAUAUUGAGAGGAGCCUUCUUUAGUACGAGAGGACCGAGAAGGACAUACCUCUGGUGUACCAGUUAUCGUGCCAACGGUAAACGCUGGGUAGCUAUGUGUGGAGUGGAUAACCGCUGAAAGCAUCUAAGUGGGAAGCCCACCUCAAGAUAAGUAUUCUCAU
This 1243-nucleotide ribosomal RNA is filed under the name metagenome. Its description in RNAcentral is "bacterial LSU rRNA". It matches the Rfam family "Bacterial large subunit ribosomal RNA", at positions 1564 to 2817 of the family's 2925-position model. The record is from RNAcentral.